CCGGGAGUUAUUUGUGUCAGGCGACCUCACUUCCUUCCUCCCCCCUCUUCCUCUGCCUCAGGGGCUGAGCGUGGACGCGGGAGCGCGGCCAGAGGGUUAUUUUAGUGCUGGCAUCGCUGAUCGCUCCACGGCCCUCCCCACCCACGGGACAAGGCCCUGCAGGAAGUGCCCGGGAAUAGCACUGCGGCCCGAGGAGGAGGAGGAGGAGGGGGAGGAGGAAGGCCCAGCGAGCCUGGAAAACCUACCUCGGAGCAGGACUUUGAUCUCUUGGGCUCCACACAGGAGUGCUCCUGGCGCUGGGAUCUCCAGUGGUGUGGGAAAGGGCACACGGCAUUUAUCGGGCAAACACCUUUUUUACCUCUGCCAGCCCACACGGGGCAUUUGGAGGAAUAAGUCACAGGAUAUCAAUACCUUCUUAUUCAUCUAA
RNAcentral lists this long non-coding RNA (427 nucleotides) under Cyanistes caeruleus (blue tit). RNAcentral describes it as "lncRNA (ENSCCEG00000012838.1)". The record is from RNAcentral. Lineage: Eukaryota; Metazoa; Chordata; Aves; Passeriformes; Paridae.